GAUGAACGCUGGCGGCGUGCCUAAUACAUGCAAGUCGAACGAGGUGCUUUUGUAGCAUUACGAGAGUAUCCUAGUGGCGAACGGGUGAGUAACGCGUUGGUGACCUACCCCAAAGUGUGGAAUAACAGGCCGAAAGGAUUACUAAUACAGCACGUGGGUAUCGGGGUUAGAAACUGAUAACUAAAGGAGCAAUUCGCUUUGGGAGGGACCUGCGUCCCAUCAGCUAGUUGGUGAGGUAAUGGCUCACCAAGGCUACGACGGGUAGGGGACCUGAGAGGGUGACCCCCCACAAUGGAACUGAGACACGGUCCAUACACCUACGGGUGGCAGCAGUAGGGAAUAUUGCACAAUGGGCGAAAGCCUGAUGCAGCAACGCCGCGUGCACGAUGAAUGCCUUCGGGUCAUAAAGUGCUUUUCUGGGAGAUGAGAAAGGACAGUAUCCCAGGAAUAAGUCUCGGCUAACUACGUG
This 469-nucleotide ribosomal RNA is filed under the name uncultured bacterium. Its description in RNAcentral is "partial 16S ribosomal RNA". It matches the Rfam family "Bacterial small subunit ribosomal RNA", at positions 28 to 507 of the family's 1533-position model. The record is from RNAcentral.